This 337-nucleotide ribosomal RNA is filed under the name uncultured bacterium. RNAcentral's name for it is "bacterial SSU rRNA". It matches the Rfam family "Bacterial small subunit ribosomal RNA", at positions 1 to 334 of the family's 1533-position model. The record is from RNAcentral.
CUGUACAGUUCAGAGUUUGAUCCUGGCUCAGGAUGAACGCUGGCGGCGUGCUUAACACAUGCAAGUCGAACGGAAAGGCCACAGCUUGCUGUGGUACUCGAGUGGCGAACGGGUGAGUAACACGUGGGUGAUCUGCCCUGUACUUCGGGAUAAGCUUGGGAAACUGGGUCUAAUACCGGAUAUGACCACUUUUUGGAUGGGGUGGUGGAAAGCUUUUGCGGUAUGGGAUGAGCUCGCGGCCUAUCAGCUUGUUGGUGGGGUAAUGGCCUACCAAGGCGUCGACGGGUAGCCGGCCUGAGAGGGUGUACGGCCACAUUGGGACUGAGAUACGGCCCAG